CAGUUACUGUAUUUCUACUCCAGUAUAGUUAGGCUACAUCGAGGACACUACUCCAGCAUAGUUAGGCUACAUCGAGGACACUACUCCAGCAUAGUUAGGCUACAUCGAGGACACUACUCCAGUAUAGUUAGGCUACAUCGAGGACAGUACUCCAGUAUAGUUAGGCUACAUCGAGGACACUACUCCAGUAUAGUUAGGCUACAUCGAGGACACUACUCCAGUAUAGUUAGGCUACAUCGAGGACACUACUCCAGUAUAGUUAGGCUACAUCGAGGACACUACUGCAGUAUAGUUAGGCUACAUCGAGGACACUACUCCAGUAUAGUUAGGCUACAUCGAGGACACUACUCCAGCAUAGUUAGGCUACAUCGAGGACACUACUCCAGCAUAGUUAGGCUACAUCGAGGACACUACUCCAGUAUAGUUAGGCUACAUCGAGGACACUACUCCAGUAUAGUUAGGCUACAUCGAGGACACUACUCCAGUAUAGUUAGGCUACAUCGAGGACACUACUCCAGCAUAGUUAGGCUACAUCGAGGACACUACUCCAGUAUAGUUAGGCUACAUCGAGGACACUACUCCAGUAUAGUUAGGCUACAUCGAGGACACUACUGCAGUAUAGUUAGGCUACAUCGAGGACACUACUCCAGUAUAGUUAGGCUACAUCGAGGACACUACUCCAGUAUAGUUAGGCUACAUCGAGGACACUACUCCAGUAUAGUUAGGCUACAUCGAGGACACUACUCCAGUAUAGUUAGGCUACAUCGAGGACACUACUCCAGUAUAGUUAGGCUACAUCGAGGACACUACUCCAGCAUAGUUAGGCUACAUCGAGGACACUACUCCAGCAUAGUUAGGCUACAUCGAGGACACUACUCCAGUAUAGUUAGGCUACAUCGAGGACACUACUCCAGUAUAGUUAGGCUACAUCGAGGACACUACUCCAGUAUAGUUAGGCUACAUCGAGGACACUACUCCAGUAUAGUUAGGCUACAUCGAGGACACUACUCCAGCAUAGUUAGGCUACAUCGAGGACACUACUCCAGCAUAGUUAGGCUACAUCGAGGACACUACUCCAGUAUAGUUAGGCUACAUCGAGGACACUACUCCAGUAUAGUUAGGCUACAUCGAGGACACUACUCCAGUAUAGUUAGGCUACAUCGAGGACACUACUCCAGUAUAGUUAGGCUACAUCGAGGACACUACUCCAGUAUAGUUAGGCUACAUCGAGGACACUACUCCAGCAUAGUUAGGCUACAUCGAGGACACUACUCCAGUAUAGUUAGGCUACAUCGAGGACACUACUCCAGUAUAGUUAGGCUACAUCGAGGACACUACUCCAGUAUAGUUAGGCUACAUCGAGGACAGUACUCCAGUAUAGUUAGGCUACAUCGAGGACACUACUCCAGUAUAGUUAGGCUACAUCGAGGACACUACUCCAGCAUAGUUAGGCUACAUCGAGGACACUACUCCAGUAUAGUUAGGCUACAUCGAGGACACUACUCCAGCAUAGUUAGGCUACAUCGAGGACACUACUCCAGUAUAGUUAGGCUACAUCGAGGACACUACUCCAGUAUAGUUAGGCUACAUCGAGGACACUACUCCAGUAUAGUUAGGCUACAUCGAGGACACUACUGCACACAUGAUUAUGCAUUUCCCUGUUUGGAAAUACUUUAA
This is a long non-coding RNA of Oncorhynchus mykiss (rainbow trout), 1677 nucleotides long. The record is from Ensembl. NCBI's taxonomy places the organism in Eukaryota, Metazoa, Chordata, Actinopteri, Salmoniformes, Salmonidae.